Molecule: transfer RNA, 72 nt
Filed under: Aspergillus flavus NRRL3357
Lineage: Eukaryota; Fungi; Ascomycota; Eurotiomycetes; Eurotiales; Aspergillaceae
Also listed under: 1 other name
Description: tRNA-Tyr (GTA) (tRNA-Tyr-GTA-4-1)
Rfam family: tRNA
About the family: Transfer RNA (tRNA) molecules are approximately 80 nucleotides in length. Their secondary structure includes four short double-helical elements and three loops (D, anti-codon, and T loops). Further hydrogen bonds mediate the characteristic L-shaped molecular structure. tRNAs have two regions of fundamental functional importance: the anti-codon, which is responsible for specific mRNA codon recognition, and the 3' end, to which the tRNAs corresponding amino acid is attached (by aminoacyl-tRNA synthetases). tRNAs cope with the degeneracy of the genetic code in two manners: having more than one tRNA (with a specific anti-codon) for a particular amino acid; and 'wobble' base-pairing, i.e. permitting non-standard base-pairing at the 3rd anti-codon position.
Source: RNAcentral
GCCCCUGUAGCGCAAUGGUAGCGCGUGAGACUGUAAAUCUCAAGGUUGCGGGUUCGACCCCCGCCAGGGGUU